GUGUCAAAAAUUCGGCGAAUACUCGAAAGACGAUCCGAACAGUUUCCGACUAUCGGACAAAUUCUCGCUAUUCCCACAAUUCAUGUUCCACCUGCGUCGUUCACAAUUUCUACAAGUAUUCAAUAAUUCGCCCGAUGAAACUGCAUACUAUCGACACAUUUUGUUCUCGGAGAACGUGUUGGAGAGUACGACAAUGAUUCAGCCCGUCUUGUUUAGCUAUUCGUUUAA
RNAcentral lists this small RNA (228 nucleotides) under Caenorhabditis elegans. RNAcentral's name for it is "Unclassified non-coding RNA Y113G7A.25". The record is from RNAcentral. Lineage: Eukaryota; Metazoa; Nematoda; Chromadorea; Rhabditida; Rhabditidae.